RNAcentral lists this long non-coding RNA (1066 nucleotides) under Mytilus galloprovincialis (Mediterranean mussel). Lineage: Eukaryota; Metazoa; Mollusca; Bivalvia; Mytilida; Mytilidae. The record is from RNAcentral.
AGGAAGAGAAGCGACACACAAAAUGAGAUCUCCUCGUUAAAUAGUAUAGACGAUUAAUCAUUCUUACGGCUACCAUUUAAAUGCAGGACCAGAACAAUCAGUUAUGUUUCUGUCUCUCAAGUUUUCAGUCUUCUUUGAUUUAUGUUCCAGACUGUCGACCGUGAUUUGAGCUUGUUUGUUUUUUCUGCUUCCUAUAAAUACGCUACUUAAUUUGGAUUCAACAACAAUUUCUCCAAAUGUUGAGAUACAGGUCUGGAAACUCUGCACAUUAGAGCUCACAUUCCAAGAAAGAGUGGCACAAUUUAAAUUUUGUUCUCGACUAAUGUUUGAAUCAAUUUAUCCUUUCCGUCAACAUCCUGUUCUAUUUGUUUAAGGUACAAGAAUGCCUGAAGAUCUGAUGCAUGUUGUUUAAUGUUCGCCAUGUUAUUUUGGUAUUCAGUGACAUCUUUUUCUGUUUGUUGUACUGAUGUUAACAAUUUCCGUAUUUGAUUGCUCUCCGCUUCCACUGUGUCGCUCAGUUCUUUUAAUAUGUCUUCUUGGAGUUGGUCAAGAUAGUUCACGAUUUUUUGUUUUGUCAUUUUUAUUUGGGACUCGAUAUCUUCUCUUGUUUCCUUGAUUGAUUUCAAAUUUUCUUCUCGGUCUGUUUGAAUUCUUUUAAUAUUUUCAGAAAUUUCUGCUAAGGUGUGUUCGAUUUCAACGAACGCAUUUGAAGAUUUAACAUCUUUGACGACAUCAUCAAUAUCAACAAAUUCUUUACACUCGUUGUGAGUCUCCACAAUGCACUUUUUACAGCAUGGGCAAUCGUGCUUAUUACAGUAUAGUUGGAACUUUUCGUUGUGGACUUUGCAAGUUUGUGUUAUCUCUAGAAUAGUUCGUGGUAGUUUGUUGUAUUCUUUGACAGGGGAUGUAAAGUGCCCCUUGGUUGCCUUGGAGAUACUGUGAUGUUCAGUACACUCCUUACAUAGACCUUCGUCACAUUCAGAACACCAAAUUACUGAUGGUUUAGUUAUUUGGCGAAAAUCACAUAUACCACAUACAAACGAAUUAUUCGCCAUUAUCCUAAAAC